This 2966-nucleotide long non-coding RNA is filed under the name Xyrichtys novacula (pearly razorfish). Lineage: Eukaryota; Metazoa; Chordata; Actinopteri; Labriformes; Labridae. The record is from RNAcentral.
UAAACUGCACAGCUACAGUAAUCAGGCAGAUCUCAUUGAACAAUCGAUCACCACGUGAGUGAAUGAAGGCUAAAAGUCAUGGAAAAGCUACUUUGUGAAUUUCUAAAGCAGUGCAGGAAUAUAAUACAGCAGCAUCUAUCACUUGCACAAUUACCAUUCAGUCUAAAACGGGCGCAGUACCUACUCUCUGCCUGCGGGGGUCGUCUUUCCCCACCGCUCUUCUAGUGUGUCCGAAUUGGGCCAACGUGUUUAGUAUGUAGGAGUAGGAUCUAGCAGUAGCAUGUAGCAGUAGCAUGUAGUAUGCGAGCAGGCAAUUCAGACACAGCACAUAUCAGUAAGAACCGGAUGGGAGGAGUGGGCGCGGCCAAUGACAUCAUACAUGAGAUCAGGAGUGUGUUGAUAUCAGCUCCAACAUCAUAUAUAUAUAUAAAUAUAUAUAUAUAUGUGUGUGUGUGUGUCAGUCUUUAUGUAUUUAUGUCAAUAUCAGUUUGUUUAAUAUUUAACAGUUAGUUUAAUAUUUAUGUAUAUUAAUGUCCAAGGUUUCUAUAUGCAUACGUCCAUACAUGUUUCUUAAUGUUAAUACAUGUUUAUAUCAGUCAGCAUAAAUUUACAUGUUUAUAUGUGUUUCAAUGUGUUUAUAUUUGCAUUUGCAAGUUUACAUGUUUAUAUAACUUCAAAAUUUUAAUGUUUUUUGAUAAAUGUUUUAUAUGUUGAUGUUUAUCUCCCUCUUUCACUCUCUGUCUUCCUGCCCCCCCCCCCCCCCCCUCUCUCUCUCUGUCGCUCGACCUCCACAGAGCUCUCUCACUGUCACUUCCUGCCGUGUUCUGAUUGGACUGUUUCAUCUUUGGCCCCACCCCUUGUGACAGAUCGUGAUGUCAAACAUUAACGUGUCUCUGGAAAACCCCUACGGGGAGGUGCAGAUCCCCCGGGCUAAGCUCCGCCCCUCUGAUGAUGCCAUGGUGAUCGCCAAUCCGAUGACUCUAAACAGUGACAAUGGGAACCCGUACGGCGUAUCAAGCUCCGCCCCUCCACCAUAUAUGGUGAAGGAAGCAGGGGGGGAGGGGGAGGAGGGGGGGAGGUGUCGGGUGUGCUGCUACCGCUGUAGGAGGAGGAAGUGAUAUCACUGCGGCGGGAGGAAUGUGAUUGGCUCAGACUUAUUUAUUUACUGCUGAUGAAUUUCCUUCGCUCUGAGGGAACAGUGAAGGAAACAACAAGUGAAGGAAACGAGGAGGCAACGAGGGAAGGAGGAAGUGAGAAAAAAGGAUAAAGCAAAUCACAAAAGGAAAGGAGAGAAGGAGAAGAAACAAAGGCAGGACACAACAAGUCAAUGAAAAAGCAAAAAAAAAAAAACUGAGUUAAAAUCUUUUCAAAUGACAAAACACCAUCUUAGCGAGGUCAUGUGACCUGAUCUGGGUUAGGAGGGUCAGUAGAGAGCUGUUACCAAUCAAAUCCAUUAAAGAGUUCGUAAUGUAAACGCAUGUUUUUGAGGAGAUUAAAGCUCCCCAUGGUCAUGAGAGGGGAGUUUUAAUAAUGUUAAUAUUUUUAUAUAAACAUUGUUAAACAUUUAUCGGAUCAUUAAAACUCUGACUGAACGCCAUGUUCAUGUUUUUUUUAUAAACAAUAAAAAUGCGUCACGUACAGAUUCUGAUCCAAAUUCGCUCAUUAGGAAAGAGUUUGUAUUCCAAUGUAGAGGGGGGGGGGGUUAUGCUGAUCAUUAUUCUGAAUUGCGUCCAUGUAAACGCUUUUUCCGAUCAUGACUCUCUGUUGGGGCAAAGCUAAACUGACUGCACAUGUGACCCAGACGCUAACUUGACGCAUUUCCGCCAUUAAUGACGAAACGUAAAGAUGGUGGGAUCCAGGAGCGACUGUCUGUCUGACAGAACUUUGUUAAAGUCCAGCCUCCUCAUGUGACGCAGGAUCAGGAUGUGCUGCUGGACCUGCCUGAUAAGCAUGAACUGGGCUCAGGUUGUUCUAAGUGAUGGGGAAACUCCUGAACCGAAUGACGUAAGCCUCGACUGCGUUUGUUGGUUUGUUGGCAGGACAGGCGUAAAUACAACUCUUUUUCUUCUUCUUCCUUUUCUUCUUCUGUGGUUGUUUUAGCAAAGUUUGAGAACUCUUCACGUGUCCAAAUGUUUCUAAUCUGAAUUAAACUUGGUGCUCGUAAACGAGCGUCAUGAUCGAAUCGUUGGGUUUCACGCCCAUUUUCACGGUGGAUUCGGAUUUUACGAUCCUUCAAAAUUUUAAUCGGAUUAAGAAAUUUCACAGAUGUAAACAUGGCUGAUGUGUAAAGGGGAGGUGUCGUCUCUUAAUGACCUCCAGAAAGCAGAGGGAGGGUCGGCGCUGACAGGAAGUCCUUCUUCUGUGAGGGUAACCAUGAGGUCUGACGCAGAGUGGAGGGGGAGGAGUCAGCUGGAACAGACGGUCAAGGGUUUUUUAUGAUUGGAUAUCCGACUGUCUAAAAACACGUUUGUUUUUUUUUCGAUCACUCGCUCAUCUUCAGGAUGAAAUAAGAGUUCUCACUUUGUCCACAGGGGGGCGCCAAACUGACGAUCAAAGGUCGUCACAGGAGCUUUAAUGAAUCGAAUCAGACACUGAGUCUGUUAUUAUGAUUGAUAUGAACUGAUAUUAUGAAUGAGUGAACGAAGAUGAAGGAGUUAAUCUGAAAAUUGCUGUGAUACUUGAUUAAAUCUGUACUCACUGUGAUAAAAGUCUUCAAGUCUGUUUGUUUGGGUUUUUCAACAUUAUUUAUGUAAAGUUAUGACAAUAUUAAUAAUUUAUGAAUGAAUAAUCUGAUCUGUUUUUGUUCCACAUGGUGACGCCUGUCAGGAGGAGUUUGUAUUUUACAUAAAGUAUUUUUAUAUUUUCAUAACCAGGACUGGAGUUUGAAGGAGAUUUAAUAAGAGACUUUAAAUAAAAACAGUAAAUCAACAUGAACCUGCUUGAACGGAAUUAUCUUCAAAAUUAAG